AUGCAAUGUAAUUCCUACAACAUUAAUGAAACAUAUACCAUUAGAACUAUGUAAUUAAGCGUUCUUGGAAUAGUGUAGUACUGGGAUGGAUGACCUCCUAGGAAGUCCUAGUGUUUUACAUG
Molecule: non-coding RNA, 122 nt
Organism: Picea glauca (white spruce)
Lineage: Eukaryota; Viridiplantae; Streptophyta; Pinopsida; Pinales; Pinaceae
Source: Rfam